UUUCUCUCCAGAUCAUGUAAAUCUUUCGCCCUUUACUAAAGAUUUCCAUGGGAAGAAA
Molecule: small nuclear RNA, 58 nt
Filed under: Carlito syrichta (Philippine tarsier)
Lineage: Eukaryota; Metazoa; Chordata; Mammalia; Primates; Tarsiidae
Description: U5 spliceosomal RNA (ENSTSYG00000033350.1)
Source: RNAcentral